This 1623-nucleotide ribosomal RNA is filed under the name Triticum aestivum (bread wheat). RNAcentral's name for it is "partial small subunit ribosomal RNA". The record is from RNAcentral. Lineage: Eukaryota; Viridiplantae; Streptophyta; Magnoliopsida; Poales; Poaceae.
AUGAAUCUCCAUAAUACAUGUCAGCAAGAACAGCUAUCGGGCUCAAAUUCCGCAAGGCCGCAAACAUUUUGGACCAUCUGUCCAGCUUGUGACACCAAAUAUCAGUACCACCAUGCAAGUUCACAGAAAACUGUCCGCUGCCAAAAUUGCUCGAAGGCCUUUAUAGCACAUGUUUUAACUGACCAACCUGUUCCUUCUGGUCCAAAGCAAUCCGUGUGGAAAAAUGCAGGAGUAUUUUCAGAAAUCAGAUUGCUUCAGAAGUUCAAACCCGGGCAGAUCUGGGCUCUCUACAGUGACAUAGAUAAGUAUCCCAAUUGCUAUGCCUUCAUAGAGAAAGUUGAGCUGCAGAAUAAUGAAGUACAGGCAAGAUGGCUUGAAGUUUGUCCCGAUGGAGAGUUGGAGAAAAUAUCUAUAGAAGAUCGAACUGUCGGGUGUGGAACCUAUAAGGUUGCCACCACUGAUGGUAUUAUGAUUUACACUGACAUGAAAUCCUUUUCUCAUCGUGUAAAUGCGAUAUUCACUGGUAGAAGGAACUCUUAUGAAAUAUAUCCUAGGAAAGAUGAAGUUUGGGCACUUCUGAAGGGAUGGGAUAUCGGUUGGAGUUCAGAUGCUCACAAUCAAAAGAAAUACAAGUAUGAAGUUGUUCAGGUCCUCUCUGAUUUCACGACUGACACUAGCAUCACCGUCAUGCCGCUUGUCAAGAUAAAAGUCUUUGUGAGCUUAUUUAUGCAGUCUAAAGAGGCUACUCCAUAUCUGAUACGGCAGGAUGAUACAAUAUGGUUCUCGCAUUGUAUCCCGUACCGUUUGAUGGGUGCAGCUGAAAGUGAAGGCAUUCCAGAAGGAGCUCUCGAACUUGAUCCUGCUGCGCUUCCCCUUAACUUGGAGCAGCCUCAUGUUCGUGUUGUUUCAGAAAGCAGGUCGGUAAAGGGCUCGGAGUUUGAUGCCGCAUAUGCUGGUUCGUCCAGAGGAAAUAAGUCUCACAAGGAAUCUGAAGGGGUUGGGGAGAGGCAGCAUGCUACAUGCAUGAACCGAGGGAUCUUUGCAAAGACAUCGGUGGUAGAGAACAGAGACCAUAACACUCCAUCUACUGUAGAAGGUAUGGAUGUUGCUGAAGAAUCUGACCACGCGCAAGCGAAAGUAUUAUGUCCUGAAUUUUUUGACUUCGACCAACUUCGAGAUGUAAGUCGGUUUAGACGCAACCAGAUCUGGGCUGUCUAUGAUACUAAAUGCUGUAUACCAAGAUUUUAUGCUCGAAUUACAAAGGUAAGAAGGGCCCCAAAGUUUGAGGUACACUUUGUUUCGCUGGAAUUUGAUCCCAGAAAUAAAGCAGAGGUGGCAUGGUCACGUGGGGAACUGCCUGUUGCUUGUGGACAUUUUAAGCAUGGAGCAUCACACACGCUAAAGAAACUACGAUCUUCUCCCAGAUCAUUUCCUAUGAGAAAAUCAGGACAAGAAACUCGUUUGAGAUAUAUCCUAAGAAAGGUGAAGUUUGGGCCCUUUUCAAGGGAUGGGACAUUGGCUGGAGUUCGGAUGCUAAAAACCACACAGAUUUUAUGUAUGAAGUUGUUCAGGUUCUCUCUGAUUUUACGACAAGCACUAGCAUCAUUGCCAUGCCGCUCGUAA